GCAGCGAGGCACGGGCGGCGGAGCGGCGGGAUGCAGCGGUACCGGCGCGCAGGGCUGUCGGGGCUGGCCGUGCUGCUGCUGGUGGCUGCAGGCAGAACCCAGGUGCAGCAAGAGCCGUUGGCAGAGACCACCGAGGGCGCCGGCAUCAGCAUCAACUGCUCCCACCCCAACAUAAAGAUCACCUACUUCAUCCACUGGUACCGUCAGCUCCUGGGCCGAGGCCCUGCAUACCUCGUGAGCAGCCUAAAAGACUCCAAAGAGCUGCGGGACCCGCCGGGGCGGCUGUGGGUGUCGGCAGACCGCCGCUCCAGCGCCCUGUGGCUCGCCCGGCCCCGGCGCGGGGACGCGGCGGUGUAUUACUGUGCCAUGACCGAACCUGUUGCUACAGUGACGUACUACCUGUUCCCACUAGUCCUCUGGAACCGACCAAACCUCUGGCAGUAG
Chroicocephalus ridibundus (black-headed gull) is the source of this 444-nucleotide non-coding RNA. Lineage: Eukaryota; Metazoa; Chordata; Aves; Charadriiformes; Laridae. The record is from the annotation of a RefSeq genome assembly.